RNAcentral lists this unclassified non-coding RNA (229 nucleotides) under plant metagenome. RNAcentral describes it as "partial contains small subunit ribosomal RNA, internal transcribed spacer 1, and 5.8S ribosomal RNA". The record is from RNAcentral.
GCUCCGUAGGUGAACCUGCGGAGGGAUCAUUACAGAGUCCAUGCCCCACCGGGUAGAUCUCCCACCCUAUGUUAUUAUUACUUUGUUGCUUUGGCGGGCCGUUAGGCUCCGGCCCGACUACCGGCCCCGGCUGGUAAGCGCCCGCCAGAGGACCCAAAACCCUGAAUAUUAGUGUCGUCUGAGUACUAUAUAAUAGUUAAAACUUUCAACAACGGAUCUCUUGGUUCUG